GAGGGUAUAGCUCAAGUGGUAGAGGGCACGCUUAGCAUGCAUGAGGUCCUGGGUUCAAUCCCCAGUACCUCCU
Molecule: transfer RNA, 73 nt
Filed under: Camelus dromedarius (Arabian camel)
Lineage: Eukaryota; Metazoa; Chordata; Mammalia; Artiodactyla; Camelidae
Also listed under: 1 other name
Rfam family: tRNA
About the family: Transfer RNA (tRNA) molecules are approximately 80 nucleotides in length. Their secondary structure includes four short double-helical elements and three loops (D, anti-codon, and T loops).
Source: Rfam by way of RNAcentral